Molecule: long non-coding RNA, 1421 nt
Filed under: Triticum aestivum (bread wheat)
Lineage: Eukaryota; Viridiplantae; Streptophyta; Magnoliopsida; Poales; Poaceae
Description: long non-coding RNA (TAES_LNC005862)
Source: RNAcentral
GUCCUUACCCGUACUAGCUUGGAAAAUAAAUUUGCUGUAGGUGAUGUAACCCCCCUACACAAUCUAGCUUGCACUUAGUAUUAUUAAGAGGGCUUGCAUAUAUGAUGUCAAACAAAAAGAGGGCUCACAUAUAUGUCCUCUGUUUAACAAGGAGAUGAACUGGAAUAAAUACUAGGUACAUAAUAUCUAUUGUAAAUUAUAUUUAUUACUUAAUACGUGCAGCUUGAAAAAGUAAAGCACUAAUGGAGCAAUAAGUGGAAGUCCAAUUCAGAAAGAAGUGUUUUGUUUUAUAUACUAGAUUGGACAAUGCUUUUCUGCUCGAAGUCUAUUACUGAAUCUUAAAUCAAGAGGAAGUUAUCUAACUGGUCUUCCAUCUCAUUUUCUUCUUAAGGAACCAGGAAGUUUCGCGAAGUCAAUACAGUGGGCGACAGAGCAGCUAAGUCAUUUAAGGUAACACACCAGGCCUGGAUUAACAUGCCAACUUUCUUGUGAUUUGCCUACAGUUAGAUGAAUUUACCAUCAGUUUACAUAGUGUACAUAAUAUAUGGACAAGUCAGGUUGCCACAGAAUUUUAAUCUAACAUAAUCAUAUCGACGGACAGCAACGCAUGUGUAGUGCACAGCGGCAGCGGCAGCGGCUGCACGGCCACGACGGACAAGCAACAACGCGGAGCAGGGACAGGUGGUGGUAAGAGUAAGUAUCACUUGUCAUGUUUAACUCAUGGCCAACAAAGAGCAAGUAUCACUUGAAACUCACUACAGAGCAAGUAUCACUUGAAACUCACUACAAGAAGAAUACUGUUGUGACGAUUAUAUACAUAUAUGUUCCACUUGGUUGCUCAGUUGGUAUUAAUUUUUUAUCACUUCCUUUUUCUUGCAGUCAAGUUUUGAAACUGGGCUUUGAUGAGAAGUUCAUUCGUAUAUGGGAAUUCUACCUUGUAUACUCUGCCACUGGUUUCAAGUCAUGAGUAGUUAGAGAUUACCAGGCACGGAUGUGUAUAUGUGUGCUCUUUGUAUAUGUUUACCUGCAUUAUUACUAGACAAAUGGAAGUCAUAUACUCCCUCUGGUCUUCAAAAAACAUCUUUCUGGAAACUGUUUGGUGGUUUCCAAUGCAGACUAAAAUUUAAGUUGAUGUCGCUUUCUACAAUUAUGUUAAUCUCAACCAUAAGAUUGAGAGAUCAGUAGACAACAGAUCUUUGGGUGAAUAGUAGUAAAUUAGAACCUUUGGUGAACUUGUAGAAAGCAAGCUUUCAUCGUUUGAGAUUGUAAAUGACCUGGGACAGACCUGAGUCAUUUACAAUCUCAAUUGAUAACUUUGAAUCUUUGCGUCUUCUGUAUAUAUAUAUUUCAGCACAUUUUAUAUCAACUGUUAACUUUGAAUCUUUGUGUCUUCCAUCAGAUCAUGCUUACUGUUGGAUUCG